AACGCACCUUGCGCUCCUUGGUAUUCCGAGGAGCAUGCCUGUUUGAGUGUCAUGAAAUCUUCAACCUACAAUCUCUUUGCGGUUUUUGUAGGCUUGGACUUGGAGGCUUGUCGGUCUUUUAUUGAUCGGCUCCUCUCAAAUGCAUUAGCUUGGUUCCUUUGCGAAUCGGCUGUCGGUGUGAUAAUGUCUACGCCGCGACCGUGACGCGUUUGGCGAGCUUCUAACCGUCCCGUUAUUGGGACAACUCUUAUGACCUCUGACCUCAAAUCAGGUAGGACUACCCGCUGAACUUAA
Molecule: unclassified non-coding RNA, 294 nt
Filed under: uncultured fungus
Lineage: Eukaryota; Fungi
Description: partial contains 5.8S ribosomal RNA, internal transcribed spacer 2, and large subunit ribosomal RNA
Rfam family: 5.8S ribosomal RNA (bases 1-52)
Source: RNAcentral